This 520-nucleotide small RNA is filed under the name uncultured Glomus. RNAcentral describes it as "SSU rRNA". It matches the Rfam family "Eukaryotic small subunit ribosomal RNA", at positions 569 to 1089 of the family's 1831-position model. Lineage: Eukaryota; Fungi; Glomeromycota; Glomeromycetes; Glomerales; Glomeraceae. The record is from RNAcentral.
AGCAGCCGCGGUAAUUCCAGCUCCAAUAGCGUAUAUUAAAGUUGUUGCAGUUAAAAAGCUCGUAGUUGAAUUUCGGGGUCAGUAGGUCGGUCGUGCCACAGGUAUGCACUGGUCUCACUGAUUCCUCCUUCCUGAUGAACCGUAAUGCCAUUAAUUUGGUGUUGCGGGGAGACUGGACUGUUACUUUGAAAAAAUUAGAGUGUUUAAAGCAGGCUAACGCUUGAAUACAUUAGCAUGGAAUAACGGAAUAGGACGUUCGAUCUUAUUUUGUUGGUUUCUAAGAUUGACGUAAUGAUUAAUAGGGAUAGUUGGGGGCAUUAGUAUUCAAUUGUCAGAGGUGAAAUUCUUGGAUUUAUUGAAGACUAACUACUGCGAAAGCAUUUGCCAAGGAUGUUUUCAUUAAUCAAGAACGAAAGUUAGGGGAUCGAAGACGAUCAGAUACCGUCGUAGUCUUAACCAUAAACUAUGCCGACUAGGGAUCGGAUGAUGUUAAUUUUUUAAUGUACUCAUUCGGCGCCUU